This 395-nucleotide ribosomal RNA is filed under the name uncultured bacterium. RNAcentral's name for it is "partial 16S ribosomal RNA". It matches the Rfam family "Bacterial small subunit ribosomal RNA", at positions 523 to 916 of the family's 1533-position model. The record is from RNAcentral.
AUACGUAAGGGGCAAGCGUUAUCCGGAUUUACUGGGUGUAAAGGGAGCGUAGACGGAAGGCCAAGUCUGAUGUGAAAGCCCGCGGCUCAACUGCGGGACUGCAUUGGAAACUGGUCAUCUGGAGUGCAGGAGGGGUAAGCGGAAUUCCUAGUGUAGCGGUGAAAUGCGUAGAUAUUAGGAGGAACACCGGUGGCGAAGGCGGUUUAGUGGAAUGUAAGUGACAGUGAGGCUCGAAAGCGUGGGGAGCAAACAGGAUUAGAUCCCCUGGUAGUCCACGCCGUAAACGAUGAAUACUAGGUGUCGGGUUUCUAUAGAGAUUCGGUGCCGCAGCAAACGCAAUAAGUAUUCCACCUGGGGAGUACGUUCGCAAGAAUGAAACUCAAAUGAAUUGACGG